AUUCAUAUUGUGCAAUGUCCACUCAGUCUCAAGAGAAGCAGUUCACAUAUUCCACUGUGUAUUCUGUGAUCAAGUGACAACAGAUAAAAUCAUGUCCAUGCAAAUAUGUGAACCAGUCCUGAUAUUCUACUUUAUUGCAUAAGCAGAACAGCUUAACAAAAGGAAGUGGAAGACAUCCUCUGUUUCUGGCCAGCCACGUAUACAAAGCCACUGCCUGGACGCUGGGGAGAUACAGCUUGAAAUCUCAAGGCCUGAAAGGACUUUGGCAGAGUAAAGUAUAUGUACAGAAACAAUCCAGGUGGCUUUGACCCAUAAAGCCCUCAACAGUGUGGGAUCUACGCACUUCAGUGUUGGACAACUCAACCUUUGUUACACUACAAUCUUUUAAGGUCAACUGUGAGCACCAUCCCAACUGGAUCAUCCAUGUGUCUAGUCCAAACAGCAAAGGCACAUUAAGAGCUCUUCUCAUGGCUGCACUGCAAUUGUGCAGCUGCCUCCUCCUGAAGGUACAUCAAAGGCCAUGCCAAAAUUCCUUCCAGAAGUCCUGCGACACUUCCUGGUUUGGGGUUGGCAUGCAACCACCAGGAGGAUAAAAACAAACAUUGACAAGGAUAAAUGAUUCCACUUUCUUAA
Molecule: long non-coding RNA, 633 nt
Organism: Hemicordylus capensis (graceful crag lizard)
Lineage: Eukaryota; Metazoa; Chordata; Lepidosauria; Squamata; Cordylidae
Exons: 2
Source: RefSeq, a predicted model, not a curated record